This 230-nucleotide ribosomal RNA is filed under the name uncultured bacterium. RNAcentral's name for it is "partial 16S ribosomal RNA". It matches the Rfam family "Bacterial small subunit ribosomal RNA", at positions 563 to 794 of the family's 1533-position model. The record is from RNAcentral.
AAGCGCGCGUAGGUGGUUUGUUAAGUUGGAUGUGAAAUCCCCGGGCUCAACCUGGGAACUGCAUCCAAAACUGGCAAGCUAGAGUAUGGUAGAGGGUGGUGGAAUUUCCUGUGUAGCGGUGAAAUGCGUAGAUAUAGGAAGGAACACCAGUGGCGAAGGCGACCACCUGGACUGAUACUGACACUGAGGUGCGAAAGCGUGGGGAGCAAACAGGAUUAGAUACCCGGAGU